Molecule: long non-coding RNA, 722 nt
Filed under: Rattus norvegicus (Norway rat)
Lineage: Eukaryota; Metazoa; Chordata; Mammalia; Rodentia; Muridae
Description: long non-coding RNA NONRATT007069
Source: RNAcentral
CCAGCAUUAAAAAGGAAGACAAGCCUUCUGAGACAAAAUGAAGUGCAAAGGAAACCCGUUGCCGUUCUCAAGAGACCGAAUCAGUUAAACAGAAAAAAUAACAUUCCAGCUAAUUUUACCAGGAGUGGAAAUAAAUUAAGUCAUCAGAAAGACACUCGUCAGGCAACUUUUCUUUUCAGAAGAGGCCUGAAGGUAUUAGAAAGCCCUGCUUGUGCUGUUUCUACUCAUAGGGGUCCUUUAGGAAUUAGAGGCUUGGCCUGUUAAUGUGAAAAAUAAGACACUAGAUUAAUUCUUUCUGUUAAUACAUGCAUUUUUCUAUUUCUUGUCUGUUCUUGCUGAUAUAAUAAUUUACCUUGGUUCUUUACUAAUAAACUUGUGUCUGAACCUUUUCUAAUCCGGUGAACCCCAACAGAGGUGUUGCCAGCAUAUCACAGGCUUCCUGAGUUUAUGCUCAUGUUGACCCCGGGUUGUGUUUUCACAUGGUGGCCGAUUGGACUUAAAUACUCUGUUUUCUAUGAGAUCUGCCGGGGGGUUUUGCUGUCUUUAUUUUCCUUUUAGGUUCAGACCCAGUUGAACACAGAACAGCUGAUAGAUGAUGUGGUAGCAAAGAGAACACGUCAAUGGCGAACUUCCACCACAAAUGGAGGAAUUUUGACUGUAUCCAUUGACAAUCCUGGAGCUGUACAGUGUCCGGUAACUCAGAAACCACGAUUAACUCGUAC